GAGAGUAGUGCUUAACCGGAGGAGGAGGGGACUUGUAUACGUAAUGUUUCUUUGGUGGUGGUGGGGAAUGGUAGACUGGAGGGGGAGAGUAGUGCUUAACCGGAGGAGGAGGGGACUUGUAUACGUAAUGUUUCUUUGGUGGUGGUGGGGAAUGGUAAACUGGAGGGGGAGAGUAGUGCUUCACCGGUGGUGGUGGAGAUUUGUACACGUAGUGUUUCUUUGGUGGGGGUGGGGAAUGGUAAACCGGAGGAGGAGAGUAGUGCUUAACUGGAGGAGGAGGAGAUUUGUACACGUAGUGUUUCUUUGGUGGUGGUGGGGAAUGGUAAACCGGAGGAGGAGAGUAGUGCUUAACCGGAGGAGGAGGAGAUUUGUACACGUAGUGUUUCUUUGGGGGUGGUGGGGAAUGGUAAACCGGAGGAGGUGAGUAGUGCUUCACCGGUGGUGGUGGAGAUUUGUAGACGUAAUGCUUUUUAGGUGGGGGUGGGGAAUGGUAAACCGGAGGGGGAGAGUAGUGCUUAACCGGAGGAGGAGGAGACUUGUAAACGUAAUGUUUUUUUGGUGGUGGUGGUGAGUGGUAAACCGGAGGGGGAGAGUAGUGCUUAACCGGAGGAGGAGGAGACUUGUAUACGUAAUGUUUCUUUGGUGGUGGUGGUGAGUGGUAAACCGGUGGGGGAGAGUAGUGCUUGACUGGAGGAGGGGGAGAUUUGUACACGUAGUGCUUCUUGGGUGGUGGUGGAGAGUGGUAAACCGGAGGAGGAGAGUAGUGCUUAACCGGAGGAGGGGGAGAUUUGUAAACGUAGUGCUUCUUUGGUGGUGGUGGGGAGUGAUAAACCGGUGGGGGAGAGUAGUGCUUGACCGGAGGAGGAGGAGAUUUGUACACGUAGUGUUUCUUUGGUGGGGGUGGGGAAUGGUAAACCGGAGGAGGUGAGUAGUGCUUAACCGGUGGAGGUGGAGAUUUGUAUUCGUAGUGCUUCUUAGGUGGUGGUGGGGAGUGGUAUACCGGUGGAGGAGAGUAGUGUUUAACCGGAGGAGUGUAAUGUUUAACCGGUGGUGGAGGAGAAGAAUAGAAAUAGUUAGCGGUUGAUUGAGAUACAAAG
RNAcentral lists this long non-coding RNA (1097 nucleotides) under Arabidopsis thaliana (thale cress). RNAcentral describes it as "long non-coding RNA (ATHA_LNC000278)". Lineage: Eukaryota; Viridiplantae; Streptophyta; Magnoliopsida; Brassicales; Brassicaceae. The record is from RNAcentral.